UACGAAGGGUGCAAACGUUGCUCGGAAUUAUUGGGCGUAAAGCGCGCGUAGGCGGCUUGGCAAGUCGGAUGUGAAAUCCCUCGGCUCAACCAAGGAAGUGCAUCCGAAACUGCUGAGCUUGAGUACUUAAGAGGAUCGCGGAAUUCCCGGUGUAGAGGUGAAAUUCGUAGAGAUCGGGAGGAACAUCUGUGGCGAAGGCGGCCAUCUGGACCAGCACUGACACUGAGGCACGAAAGCGUGGGGAGCAAACAGG
RNAcentral lists this ribosomal RNA (253 nucleotides) under uncultured bacterium. RNAcentral describes it as "partial 16S ribosomal RNA". It matches the Rfam family "Bacterial small subunit ribosomal RNA", at positions 524 to 776 of the family's 1533-position model. The record is from RNAcentral.